Molecule: long non-coding RNA, 450 nt
Filed under: Durio zibethinus
Lineage: Eukaryota; Viridiplantae; Streptophyta; Magnoliopsida; Malvales; Malvaceae
Description: long non-coding RNA (DZIB_LNC000505)
Source: RNAcentral
GAAAAAGGAAGUUGUCUUCAAUUUAGUCAUCGCGCAAAUCAACUCGUGUCUUGACUGAGCUGCCCAUGUGAUUCUUAACCAGUUCAAAAAGCUUUCAAUGUAAUUGGCUUUAGAAUCAAUGCACCUAGACAUUUGUGUGCAAAAAAUAUUUGCUCUCUUUGUUUUUCUUUAUUAGUAAAAUUUAACACGGCAUAGAUUGCAAAUUAUUCAAUGUUUAGCAUCUAAAUCAUUAUACUCUCAUCUAAAAUAUAUGAAACAAUGGAAAUGAAAAAAAUUUUAGAUUUUUUCAUUAAAAAAUGAAAGUAAAAAAUUUAUAAAUAUUAAAAUUUAAAUCUUAACUAUUUUAAAAUUUAUUUAUUUUAUAAAUGAUGAUUUAUGAAGUUUUAGAUUUACGAAAACCUAAACUAAUAAGGGGUAUUUAAAAAAAAUUUUAAAUAGAUAAAUUAUUUA